AGUGAACGCUGGCGGUAGGCCUAACACAUGCAAGUCGAACGGCAGCACAGUAAGAGCUUGCUCUUACGGGUGGCGAGUGGCGGACGGGUGAGGAAUACAUCGGAACCUACUUUUUCGUGGGGGAUAACGUAGGGAAACUUACGCUAAUAUCGCAUACGACCUACGGGUGAAAGCAGGGGAUCUUCGGACCUUGCGCGAUUGAAUGCGCCGAUGUCGGAGUAGCUAGUUGGCGGGGUAAAGGCCCACCAAGGCGACGAUCCGUAGCUGGUCUGAGAGGAUGAUCGGCCACACGGGAACGGAGACACGGACCAGAGUCCUACGAGAGGGAGCAGUGUGGAAUAGUGGACAAUGGGCGCAAGCCUGGUCCAACGAGACCGCGUGUGUUAAGGAGGCCUUCGGGUUGGAAAGCCGGUUUGUGGGGAAAGAAAAGCAGCAGGUUAAGACCCCGCGGUUCUGACGGUACCCAAUAAAGAAGCACCGGCUAACUUCGUG
This 492-nucleotide ribosomal RNA is filed under the name uncultured bacterium. RNAcentral's name for it is "partial 16S ribosomal RNA". It matches the Rfam family "Bacterial small subunit ribosomal RNA", at positions 29 to 507 of the family's 1533-position model. The record is from RNAcentral.